RNAcentral lists this ribosomal RNA (404 nucleotides) under uncultured Olsenella sp. RNAcentral describes it as "bacterial SSU rRNA". It matches the Rfam family "Bacterial small subunit ribosomal RNA", at positions 338 to 734 of the family's 1533-position model. Lineage: Bacteria; Bacillati; Actinomycetota; Coriobacteriia; Coriobacteriales; Atopobiaceae. The record is from RNAcentral.
CCUACGGGAGGCAGCAGUGGGGAAUUUUGGACAAUGGGCGCAAGCCUGAUCCAGCCAUGCCGCGUGUCUGAAGAAGGCCUUCGGGUUGUAAAGGACUUUUGUCAGGGAAGAAAAGGCGGGUGCUAAUACCAUCUGCUGAUGACGGUACCUGAAGAAUAAGCACCGGCUAACUACGUGCCAGCAGCCGCGGUAAUACGUAGGGUGCGAGCGUUAAUCGGAAUUACUGGGCGUAAAGCGAGCGCAGACGGUUUGUUAAGCAGGAUGUGAAAUCCCCGGGCUCAACCUGGGAACUGCGUUCUGAACUGGCAGGCUAGAGUGUGUCAGAGGGGGGUAGAAUUCCACGUGUAGCAGUGAAAUGCGUAGAGAUGUGGAGGAAUACCGAUGGCGAAGGCAGCCCCCUGGGA